CGCGUAGGCGGCUGUUCAAGUCCGUAGUGGAAGUCCAUUUUUCAAGGGUGGAAGUGCUAUGGAAACUGAGCAGCUUGAGUGCAGGAGAGGUUAUCGGAAUUCCCGGUGUAGCGGUGAAAUGCGUAGAGAUCGGGAGGAACACCAGUGGCGAAGGCGGGUAACUGGACUGCAACUGACGCUGAGGCGCGAAAGUGUGGGGAGCAAACA
This 207-nucleotide ribosomal RNA is filed under the name uncultured bacterium. RNAcentral's name for it is "partial 16S ribosomal RNA". It matches the Rfam family "Bacterial small subunit ribosomal RNA", at positions 568 to 774 of the family's 1533-position model. The record is from RNAcentral.